Molecule: non-coding RNA, 143 nt
Organism: Ornithorhynchus anatinus (platypus)
Lineage: Eukaryota; Metazoa; Chordata; Mammalia; Monotremata; Ornithorhynchidae
Source: Rfam
CAUCUCUCAGGGUCACACCUGGAGAGUUCCCAGUAUUCUACCCGUUUUGACUAUAGGAGGGAGAGUCAGGCAGAGGCAUAUCCAAUCUAUUCCAUUCCUAGCUUGGGCAGUGGCUGGUGAGUGGAAGGCAGUCUGCUAAAAGU